GUUAGAAUUGCCAGAAUUUCUGAAAUUAAGGGCCAAGAGUAGGGGGUUCAAUAUACCGCAGGGGGGUCAAAAUACCAUGGCAAAGUAAAAUUUUCAAAAUAUCUUUUCCAUCAAGUUUAAUACAAACAAAGUACUUGUUGGUGUAUAUUAACUACAUAUAAGAGUUAAAAUUGCCAGAAUUAUUUGAAUUGUCUAGAGUAAGGGGUUCAAUAUAUCGCAG
This 220-nucleotide long non-coding RNA is filed under the name Mytilus galloprovincialis (Mediterranean mussel). Lineage: Eukaryota; Metazoa; Mollusca; Bivalvia; Mytilida; Mytilidae. The record is from RNAcentral.